CCUACGGGGGGCAGCAGUGGGGAAUAUUGGACAAUGGGCGAAAGCCUGAUCCAGCCAUGCCGCGUGUGUGAAGAAGGCCUUCGGGUUGUAAAGCACUUUCAGUGGGGAAGAAAGCCUUGGGGCUAAUACCCUCGAGGAAGGACAUCACCCACAGAAGAAGCACCGGCUAACUCCGUGCCAGCAGCCGCGGUAAUACGGAGGGUGCGAGCGUUAAUCGGAAUUACUGGGCGUAAAGCGCGCGUAGGCGGUCUGAUAAGCCGGUUGUGAAAGCCCCGGGCUCAACCUGGGAACGGCAUCCGGAACUGUCAGGCUAGAGUGCAGGAGAGGAAGGUAGAAUUCCCGGUGUAGCGGUGAAAUGCGUAGAGAUUGGGAGGAAUACCAGUGGCGAAGGCGGCCUUCUGGACUGACACUGACGCUGAGGUGCGAAAGCGUGGGUAGCAAACAGGAUUAGAUACCCUAGUAGUC
This 465-nucleotide ribosomal RNA is filed under the name Vreelandella stevensii. RNAcentral describes it as "partial 16S ribosomal RNA". It matches the Rfam family "Bacterial small subunit ribosomal RNA", at positions 338 to 795 of the family's 1533-position model. Lineage: Bacteria; Pseudomonadati; Pseudomonadota; Gammaproteobacteria; Oceanospirillales; Halomonadaceae. The record is from RNAcentral.